This 254-nucleotide ribosomal RNA is filed under the name uncultured bacterium. RNAcentral's name for it is "partial 16S ribosomal RNA". It matches the Rfam family "Bacterial small subunit ribosomal RNA", at positions 524 to 776 of the family's 1533-position model. The record is from RNAcentral.
UACGUAGGGUGCAAGCGUUAUCCGGAAUUAUUGGGCGUAAAGAGCUCGUAGGCGGUUUGUCGCGUCUGCUGUGAAACUGGAGGCUCAACCUCCAGCCUGCAGUGGGUACGGGCAAACUAGAGUGCGGUAGGGGAGAUUGGAAUUCCUGGUGUAGCGGUGGAAUGCGCAGAGUAUCAGGAGGAACACCGAUGGCGAAGGCAGAUCUCUGGGCCGUAACUGGACGCUGAGGAGCGAAAGCAUGGGGAGCGAACAGG